This 250-nucleotide ribosomal RNA is filed under the name uncultured bacterium. RNAcentral describes it as "partial 16S ribosomal RNA". It matches the Rfam family "Bacterial small subunit ribosomal RNA", at positions 524 to 773 of the family's 1533-position model. The record is from RNAcentral.
UACAGAGGUCUCAAGCGUUGUUCGGAUUCACUGGGCGUAAAGGGUGCGUAGGUGGCGGGGUAAGUCGGAUGUGAAAUCUCCGAGCUCAACUCGGAAAAUGCAUUGGAAACUACCUUGCUCGAGGGUUGGAGGGGGGACUGGAAUACUUGGUGUAGCAGUGAAAUGCGUAGAUAUCAAGUGGAACGCCAGUGGCGAAAGCGAGUCCCUGGACAACUCCUGACACUGAGGCACGAAAGCUAGGGGAGCAAAC